Molecule: long non-coding RNA, 1349 nt
Organism: Musa acuminata AAA Group (dessert banana)
Lineage: Eukaryota; Viridiplantae; Streptophyta; Magnoliopsida; Zingiberales; Musaceae
Exons: 2
Source: RefSeq, a predicted model, not a curated record
UCCUGAGAGGAAGCAUAGUGUUAAGCAUUCUGAUGAUAUAAGAAAGAGUUCUAAGGAAGCCAAGGAAGCUUAGCCAAAAUCACAUAUUAUAUAACAAGUAACAAGAUAUAUCAAUUAGCAGAUUAAAAAAAAACACACACAAAAGAUAAUGAAACGAUUACUAACUUCUCAUAUCAUGGAUGCCGCCAAGGAGGUUGUUCAGAUUCAAAAUAUUCAAAUAUAAUCUCCUCAUGAUCCACGUGGAUGCCUUUAUCAAAGAAAACUUUAGCAGAAGAAGACGAUGAAUCUGAUAAGCAUGCACCUUUGUCCUUCCUUGGUAGGUUGGGGCAGUAACAUUGAGAAGAUUGAGAGAGAACCCAAAGAAGAAACAGAUUUUGCUGUCUUGUUCCCCUCAUGAUCUCUGGCUGACUGUCCACUCAGAUUGCAAUAUUUAGUACUCCUCGAUAUUCCAAAUAAUUGCACAGCAGCGCAAAGUAUGCAGUGAAUUCAUGACAACCAUUCCGCAGCCUUGUAGAAUUGUAAAAAGCUUGUGUCUUCACUUCCGACCCAAAGCAACCAAGCUCUUCAUACCAUUGCCAAAUGCUUUUCAAGGAGAUGUUAGGAAUCUCGUGCCAGCUAUCUUUGAGUCGUUCAUGAGAACAACUGUUGCAGCUUCUGUCCAAUAACUGGAGCAGCAGAAAAAAGAAAUUUCUCAAAGUCAGCAACCGGACUGCCAGCAACAAAGCCAAAGCAGCUAUGGACACACCAUCCUCGUUCUUGUUCCGGUACUUGCAGAUGGGAGGUGCGCCGUACUUCCUCGUAGGGCGGCCAUCGGCUCCGGUUUGGACGGUGCAGCUGACGACAGUGUCGGGGGCGAGCAAGCGGAGCAUUCGGUCCACCAUCGUGGCCGCCUGCAGGUUCUCGGUCGGCAGCCGGGCAACGAUCUCAACCGGGCUCAACAUGGCGCCCGGGCCGGCCUCGACGAUGAUGUCGAGUUGCCGGAGCUCGAUAGCGGCCUUGAUGGUGAAGGGGAGGGCGUGCAGCUGCUCGCUAGCUGUAAGGCACACGCGCCUGCCUCCUCCUCGAGCGUCAGCUGCUGGAUGUUCUUGGUGGAUGCCAUACUACAAGCUAGCUAGCUAGUUUGCAGAACACGUGAUGGUGGAAUACUAUGAGAUGAGGAAGACUGGUUGAGCUUGGGGUGGUAUAAGAAGGGCUUUCCAUCCAGAUUUAUAGUGUGGAAUUCCUCUCCUACAAAGAGGAUCGUUCCCAAUUCAUAUAGCUGGACAACAAUCCGUAAGCAAAAUGACAGUGCAAUUAGAGCCACUUGUAUAAAGUGACAUAUGCAUGUUAUUUGUGUUAUUGGUAUUUCA